RNAcentral lists this ribosomal RNA (522 nucleotides) under uncultured Glomeraceae. RNAcentral's name for it is "SSU rRNA". It matches the Rfam family "Eukaryotic small subunit ribosomal RNA", at positions 569 to 1092 of the family's 1831-position model. Lineage: Eukaryota; Fungi; Glomeromycota; Glomeromycetes; Glomerales; Glomeraceae. The record is from RNAcentral.
AGCAGCCGCGGUAAUUCCAGCUCCAAUAGCGUAUAUUAAAGUUGUUGCAGUUAAAAAGCUCGUAGUUGAAUUUCGGGGUUAGUAGGUUGGUCAUGCCUCUGGUAUGUACUGGUCUCACUGAUUCCUCCUUCCUGAUGAACCUUAAUGCCAUUAAUUUGGUGUUUUGGGGAAUUUGGACUGUUACUUUGAAAAAAUUAGAGUAUUUAAAGCAAGCUAACGCUUGAAUACAUUAGCAUGGAAUAAUGAAAUAGGACGUUCGAUCCUAUUUUGUUGGUUUCUAGGAUUGACGUAAUGAUUAAUAGGGAUAGUUGGGGGCAUUAGUAUUCAAUUGUCAGAGGUGAAAUUCUUGGAUUUAUUGAAGACUAACUACUGCGAAAGCAUUUGCCAAGGAUGUUUUCAUUAAUCAAGAACGAAAGUUAGGGGAUCGAAGACGAUCAGAUACCGUCGUAGUCUUAACCAUAAACUAUGCCGACUAGGGAUCGGAUGAUGUUAAUUUUUUAAUGACUCAUUUGGCGCCUUACG